Olea europaea var. sylvestris is the source of this 524-nucleotide long non-coding RNA. RefSeq lists it as uncharacterized. The transcript has 3 exons. Lineage: Eukaryota; Viridiplantae; Streptophyta; Magnoliopsida; Lamiales; Oleaceae. The record is from RefSeq and is a predicted model, not a curated record.
GACUGUUGUUUGUUACUUCUAUAGAGCACAACAAAGAAGAAGGCGAGUGGUCCCAAAAUGCCCAGUUACUUGCAAGAGAAUUCAAGGGAAUGAGAAUUUGAAUGGUGAUGUGGCAAGUUCAUCGACUCAUAAUUCCUCACUUCAUGGGGCAUCUUCACCUUCUAUACCUAUGGUUGCUUUUGUACGUGGAAUAAAUCAUUUCGAGACUCAAUCCUCAUCAAACAAAAAAACUUGGUGAAAGUCCUGGAAUUUUUGCCUGUAAUUGUUGGAGAAUUGUUUCAGGGAUGAAAGUGGUCGGUGAAUACUAGCUUUCAAGCUUCUUCUUCUUCCUUUUUUUUUUUUCGAGGGGUAAAACCUGGUAAAAGCCCUUUGUAAAAGUUCCAAUCUCGAUUAAUCAAUUGUCACAUGGCUAACCUAGAGAUUCAUGACCAUAUUUUGUAACCAAUUCAAGUUUUUUGUGUCUCAUAUCAAACCCAUUUAUAUUGUAAUUGUGAGAUGAAUUACACUAGUUGAAGAAUUUAGAG